RNAcentral lists this ribosomal RNA (164 nucleotides) under Sambucus callicarpa. RNAcentral's name for it is "5.8S ribosomal RNA". It matches the Rfam family "5.8S ribosomal RNA". From Rfam's summary of the family: 5.8S ribosomal RNA (5.8S rRNA) is a component of the large subunit of the eukaryotic ribosome. It is transcribed by RNA polymerase I as part of the 45S precursor that also contains 18S and 28S rRNA. The record is from RNAcentral. Lineage: Eukaryota; Viridiplantae; Streptophyta; Magnoliopsida; Dipsacales; Adoxaceae.
CAAACGACUCUCGGCAACGGAUAUCUCGGCUCUCGCAUCGAUGAAGAACGUAGMGAAAUGCGAUACUUGGUGUGAAUAGMAGAAUCCCGUGAACCAUCGAGUUUUUGAACGCAAGUUGCGCCCGAAGCCAUUAGGCUGAGGGMACGUCUGCCUGGGCGUCACAC